AAUGAACGCUGGCGGCGUGUCUUAAGCAUGCAAGUCGGGCGGCAAGCGGUAGCAAUACCGCCUAGAGCGGCGGACUGGUGAGUAACACGUGGGUGAUCUGCCUCGGGGUUGGGGAUAGCCAUUAGAAAUAGUGGGUAAUACCGAAUACGCUUCCACGAUUACGGUCAUGGAAGGAAAGGCGCUAAGGCGCCGACCUGAGAUGAGCCUGCGUCCCAUUAGCUAGUUGGUGAGGUAACGGCCCACCAAGGCGAUGAUGGGUAGGCGGCCUGAGAGGGUGUACGCCCACAUUGGGACUGAGAUACGGCCCAAACUCCUACGGGAGGCAGCAGCUAAGAAUAUUCCGCAAUGGACGAAAGUCUGACGGAGCGACGCCGCGUGGAUGAUGAAGGCCGGAAGGUUGUAAAAUCCUUUGUCGGGAGAAUAAGCAUGGGAGGGAAUGCCCGUGUGAUGACAUGAACCGGCGAAUAAGCCCCGGCUAACUACGUGCCAGCAGCCGAC
RNAcentral lists this ribosomal RNA (498 nucleotides) under uncultured bacterium. Its description in RNAcentral is "bacterial SSU rRNA". It matches the Rfam family "Bacterial small subunit ribosomal RNA", at positions 29 to 518 of the family's 1533-position model. The record is from RNAcentral.